GACGAACGCUGGCGGCGUGCUUAACACAUGCAAGUGGAGCGACGAACCGGGCUUCGGCCCGGGGCAGAGCCGCGAACGGGUGAGUAACACGUGGGUAACGUGCCCCGAUGACUGGGACAACCCGGGGAAACCCGGGCUAAUACCAGAUGUGCCCUACCACCAUCAGGUGGUCGGGGAAAGGUAGCUUCGGCUUCCGCAUCGGGAUCGGCCCGCGGCCCAUUAGCUUGUUGGUGGGGUAAUGGCCCACCAAGGCUGCGAUGGGUAGCUGGUCUGAGAGGACGAUCAGCCACACUGGGACUGAGACACGGCCCAGACUCCUACGGGAGGCAGCAGUGGGGGAAUCUUGCGCAAUGCGCGAAAGCGUGACGCAGCAACGCCGCGUGAGGGAAGACGGCCU
RNAcentral lists this ribosomal RNA (397 nucleotides) under uncultured bacterium. RNAcentral's name for it is "bacterial SSU rRNA". It matches the Rfam family "Bacterial small subunit ribosomal RNA", at positions 28 to 417 of the family's 1533-position model. The record is from RNAcentral.